UGCCGCCAUUUCUCUUUAAUCUAGUCUCUGUAUAGACACGCUCAUUUUGUUAUACUAUUAAUUUCUCGAAAAUUUCAGAUAAUCAAAAGGGUUUAUUUUGCAACAGAUUUAGGUAAUUGAAUUUUUUUUUUUUUUGGGAAAAAAAGAGAAUACAACCAGAUGGAUAAGAAAAGGGUGGCGGUUCCACUUGUGUGCCAUGGUCA
This 203-nucleotide unclassified non-coding RNA is filed under the name Hevea brasiliensis (rubber tree). Lineage: Eukaryota; Viridiplantae; Streptophyta; Magnoliopsida; Malpighiales; Euphorbiaceae. The record is from RNAcentral.